GAAAUGCGAUAAGUAAUGUGAAUUGCAGAAUUCAGUGAAUCAUCGAAUCUUUGAACGCACAUUGCGCCCGCCAGUAUUCUGGCGGGCAUGCCUGUUCGAGCGUCAUUACAACCCUCAGGCCCCCGGGCCUGGCGUUGGAGAUCGGCGGAAGCCCCCUGCGGGCACAACGCCGUCCCCCAAAUACAGUGGCGGUCCCGCCGCAGCUUCCAUUGCGUAGUAGCUAACACCUCGCAACUGGAGAGCGGCGCGGCCACGCCGUAAAACACCCAACUUCUGAAUGUUGACCUCGAAUCAGGUAGGAAUACCCGCUGAACUUAAGC
This 320-nucleotide unclassified non-coding RNA is filed under the name plant metagenome. Its description in RNAcentral is "partial contains 5.8S ribosomal RNA, internal transcribed spacer 2, and large subunit ribosomal RNA". The stretch from base 1 to 105 matches the Rfam family "5.8S ribosomal RNA", at positions 50 to 154 of the family's 154-position model. The record is from RNAcentral.